This 430-nucleotide ribosomal RNA is filed under the name Chloroflexota bacterium. RNAcentral describes it as "Chloroflexi bacterium partial 16S ribosomal RNA". It matches the Rfam family "Bacterial small subunit ribosomal RNA", at positions 355 to 776 of the family's 1533-position model. Lineage: Bacteria; Bacillati; Chloroflexota. The record is from RNAcentral.
UAGGGAAUCUUCGGCAAUGGACGCAAGUCUGACCGAGCAACGCCGCGUGAGUGAAGAAGGUUUUCGGAUCGUAAAACUCUGUUGUUAGAGAAGAACAAGGAUGAGAGUAAAAUGUUCAUCCCUUGACGGUAUCUAACCAGAAAGCCACGGCUAACUACGUGCCAGCAGCCGCGGUAAUACGUAGGUGGCAAGCGUUGUCCGGAUUUAUUGGGCGUAAAGCGAGCGCAGGCGGUUUCUUAAGUCUGAUGUGAAAGCCCCCGGCUCAACCGGGGAGGGUCAUUGGAAACUGGGAGACUUGAGUGCAGAAGAGGAGAGUGGAAUUCCAUGUGUAGCGGUGAAAUGCGUAGAUAUAUGGAGGAACACCAGUGGCGAAGGCGGCUCUCUGGUCUGUAACUGACGCUGAGGCUCGAAAGCGUGGGGAGCAAACAGG